RNAcentral lists this ribosomal RNA (1217 nucleotides) under Triticum aestivum (bread wheat). RNAcentral's name for it is "partial small subunit ribosomal RNA". The record is from RNAcentral. Lineage: Eukaryota; Viridiplantae; Streptophyta; Magnoliopsida; Poales; Poaceae.
CAGGACGAACUUAAAGGCUCACCCACAGCAGAGGGAAAAGUAAACCCAGCGAGACAAAGCUAUUCCGGCUCCCUCUCUCGAGCUCGCCGCUUCCUCUCUCCGCCUCCUCUCUCCGCUAAGGCUCGAUAAGGUGGCAAGCUAAAACUAAAACAGGAGGGAUAAGAGAAACGGGGGCCGACGGCUCAACGUCCACCGACGAAUACUAAAAGGGGACCAUCUACUCCGUACAGACUUACACAAGGUCCUUCGAGAGACUUAAACUACGAAGAUAAUGACACAUUAAAAUGGGGGCUCUGUACAUUACAUCGAGUUUUCAUGUCACCUAGUAUGGGGGUCUUAAUGUCACAUUGAUGACACAUUAUCCAAACGUCUUGGAGUGACAGGGUGGAAAACGUCAUAUUAAGACGGUAAAAAUGUCACAUUAAUUGUACGAAAUGUCACAUUAAGAGGGUAUAGACAUUAAUGACACAGUAAGAGGGUUUAUGACACAAUAAAUAACAAGCUAAUGUCACAUUAAACACGAUAGUCAUAACACAUUAAAGGGGGGAUUAAGGUCACAUAUAAGGGUCUAUACGUUCUAAAAAGUUACAUAAAUACGGGCCUUAGUGACACAUUAAACAGGAUCAUACAAGUGUCCUUAAAUCGGGUUAAUGAGUACAUGACACAUAUACGUCUAAAAAGUCAUAUAAUACGGACCUUAGUGACACAUUAAACAGGAUAAAUACAAGUGUCAUUAAAUCGAGUUAAUGAGUACAUUAAAUGUCACAUAAGCGGGUCUAAAUGUCACAAAAAUACGGGACCUCAGUGACACAUAUGAGGGUCUAGUGACACAUCAAAUGAAACAUUUAAAUCGGGUUGGUGAGUACAUUAAUAUCACAUAAAGGGAUCUCAAAAUGUGACAUUAAACAUACCAAUGUUACGUUAAAAACAUACUGAAUGUUACGUUAAGUGGUCUCAAAAUGUAACAUAAAGGGAUCUGAAUGUAACAUUUAAACAUACAAACUCCUGACAUUAAAGUCAUACUGAAUGUUACAUUAAGUAGUCUGAAAAUGACAGAAUAGGGAUCUCAUAAUGUGACAUUAAACACACGAACUCCUGACAUUAAAGUCAUACUGAAUGUUAAAUUAAGUAGUCUGAAAAUGUGACAUAAAGGGAUCUCAUAAUGUGAUAUUAAACACACGAACUGACGUUAAUUUCAUACUGAAUGUUACAUUAAG